Mycena alexandri is the source of this 102-nucleotide non-coding RNA. The record is from the annotation of a GenBank genome assembly. NCBI's taxonomy places the organism in Eukaryota, Fungi, Basidiomycota, Agaricomycetes, Agaricales, Mycenaceae.
GCCCUCGUAGCUCAGCGGUUAGAGCCUCCUCUUAUUGUCGAUGUGUACUAGCUCAUAAUUAAGCUUCAUGGGAAGGCGUGGGUUCGACUCCCGCCGAGGGCG